UGUGAUGAAGGCCUUCGGGUUGUAAAGCACUUUUAGAUGUGACGAUGGAUGACGGUAACAUCAGAAAAAGCUCCGGCUAACUUCGUGC
This 88-nucleotide ribosomal RNA is filed under the name uncultured bacterium. Its description in RNAcentral is "partial 16S ribosomal RNA". It matches the Rfam family "Bacterial small subunit ribosomal RNA", at positions 404 to 508 of the family's 1533-position model. The record is from RNAcentral.